GACGUAGGGCGCGAGCGUUGUCCGGAUUUAUUGGGCGUAAAGAGCUCGUAGGCGGCUUGUCGCGUCGACUGUGAAAUCCCGCGGCUCAACCGCGGGUCUGCAGUCGAUACGGGCAGGCUAGAGUUCGGUAGGGGAGACUGGAAUUCCUGGUGUAGCGGUGAAAUGCGCAGAUAUCAGGAGGAACACCGGUGGCGAAGGCGGCACUCUGGGCCGGUACUGACGCUGAGGAGCGAAAGCGUGGGGAGCGAACAGG
This 253-nucleotide ribosomal RNA is filed under the name uncultured bacterium. RNAcentral describes it as "partial 16S ribosomal RNA". It matches the Rfam family "Bacterial small subunit ribosomal RNA", at positions 524 to 776 of the family's 1533-position model. The record is from RNAcentral.